AUGGUUAAGUUAGAAAGGGCGCACGGUGGAUGCCUUGGCACUAGGAGCCGAUGAAGGACGGGACGAACACCGAUAUGCUUCGGGGAGCUGUAAGCAAGCUUUGAUCCGGAGAUUUCCGAAUGGGGAAACCCACUGCUCGUAAUGGAGUAGUAUCCAUACUUGAAUACAUAGAGUAUGAGAAGGCAUACCCGGGGAACUGAAACAUCUAAGUACCCGGAGGAAGAGAAAGCAAAUGCGAUUCCCUGAGUAGCGGCGAGCGAAACGGGAACAGCCCAAACCAAGAGGCUUGCCUCUUGGGGUUGUAGGACACUCUAUACGGAGUUACAAAGGAACGAUAUAAGCGAAGAGGUCUGGAAAGGCCCGCCAAAGAAGGUAACAGCCCUGUAACUGAAAUGUUGUUCUCUCCAGAGUGGAUCCUGAGUACGGCGGAACACGUGAAAUUCCGUCGGAAUCCGGGAGGACCAUCUCCCAAGGCUAAAUACUCCCUAGUGACCGAUAGUGAACCAGUACCGUGAGGGAAAGGUGAAAAGCACCCCGGAAGGGGAGUGAAAUAGAUCCUGAAACCGUGUGCCUACAAGUAGUCAGAGCCCGUUAAAGGGUGAUGGCGUGCCUUUUGUAGAAUGAACCGGCGAGUUACGAUCCCGUGCAAGGUUAAGCAGAAGAUGCGGAGCCGCAGCGAAAGCGAGUCUGAAUAGGGCGCAUGAGUACGUGGUCGUAGACCCGAAACCAGGUGAUCUACCCAUGUCCAGGGUGAAGUUCAGGUAACACUGAAUGGAGGCCCGAACCCACGCACGUUGAAAAGUGCGGGGAUGAGGUGUGGGUAGGGGUGAAAUGCCAAUCGAACCUGGAGAUAGCUGGUUCUCUCCGAAAUAGCUUUAGGGCUAGCCUCAAGGUAAGAGUCUCGGAGGUAGAGCAC
This 916-nucleotide ribosomal RNA is filed under the name Bacillus pumilus. RNAcentral's name for it is "partial 23S ribosomal RNA". It matches the Rfam family "Bacterial large subunit ribosomal RNA", at positions 1 to 910 of the family's 2925-position model. The record is from RNAcentral. Lineage: Bacteria; Bacillati; Bacillota; Bacilli; Caryophanales; Bacillaceae.